This 425-nucleotide ribosomal RNA is filed under the name uncultured bacterium. RNAcentral describes it as "partial 16S ribosomal RNA". It matches the Rfam family "Bacterial small subunit ribosomal RNA", at positions 354 to 796 of the family's 1533-position model. The record is from RNAcentral.
GUGGGGAAUCUUGCGCAAUGGGCGAAAGCCUGACGCAGCCAUGCCGCGUGAAUGAUGAAGGUCUUAGGAUUGUAAAAUUCUUUCACCGGGGACGAUAAUGACGGUACCCGGAGAAGAAGCUCCGGCUAACUUCGUGCCAGCAGCCGCGGUAAUACGAAGGGGGCUAGCGUUGCUCGGAAUUACUGGGCGUAAAGGGCGCGUAGGCGGACAGCUUAGUCAGAGGUGAAAGCCCAGGGCUCAACCUUGGAAUUGCCUUUGAUACUGACUGUCUUGAGUUUGGGAGAGGUGAGUGGAACUCCGAGUGUAGAGGUGAAAUUCGUAGAUAUCCGGAGGAACACCGGUGGCGAAGGCGGCCACCUGGACAGGUACUGACGCUGAGGCGCGAAAGCGUGGGGAGCAAACAGGAUUAGAAACCCUAGUAGUCC